Molecule: long non-coding RNA, 721 nt
Organism: Dicentrarchus labrax (European seabass)
Lineage: Eukaryota; Metazoa; Chordata; Actinopteri; Moronidae
Exons: 4
Source: RefSeq, a predicted model, not a curated record
CUGAGGGUGUCUGACUCACACUUGUCUCUAGAGUCGUCAUCUGGCUUUACUUGCCCUGCGUGCUCCCUGUCCUGGGUGGGUGUUUUCUUACUUCCUGGGGAAUAAGAGGAAUCCUUUCAGCGACAGGGUUAAAAAGUCCAGAACCCAGCCCACAAUCUUGUUACUGGGCAAAGGAGCCCAGACAGUGCACACAUGCACCUCCCCACUUCCCUUCCUCAUCAACGUCUCAGCAGAAAGGGCCACACGUCAUCCCACUGCUGUGUGGAGAGAUUAUUUUCCUGACACCAGGCCACCAGUCCUGCCACCUCUCUUCUGUACGCCGUCUCCUCCCCACCACUCAUCCGACCAGUAACCGUGGUGUAGAGCAACGGACUUAGCACGCAGCCCUGGGGUAUCCCUGUGCUCACAGUUCUGAUGCCUGAUGUCCGGUCUCCAACUCUGACUGACUGGGGUCUGUCUGUGAGGAAGUUCAGCACCCGGUUACAGAGGGAAGGUGUCAGUCCGAGGCCUGAUGACACUCCUCUGUCCACCAUGGUACAAGUUUUCUAUUCAUCUGAUUUUAACUCGUGGGUACUGAUUCAUCAGCUGCGGUAAAUGUGCACACUAUACCACUUUAUGUCUGUUUUGGCCUUUUAUCCUUAGUAGGCUUUUUGGAUUUUAUUCUCUAAUAUAAUUAUUGCAGUCAUUAGUGUACAGUAUAGGUGAUAGCACGCAACCUUGU